This 253-nucleotide ribosomal RNA is filed under the name uncultured bacterium. Its description in RNAcentral is "partial 16S ribosomal RNA". It matches the Rfam family "Bacterial small subunit ribosomal RNA", at positions 524 to 776 of the family's 1533-position model. The record is from RNAcentral.
CACGUAGGGGGCAAGCGUUGUCCGGAUUUAUUGGGCGUAAAGAGCUCGUAGGUGGCUGAGUAAGUCGGAUGUUAAAUCCCCAGGCUCAACCUGGGACACCACCCGAUACUGCUCUGGCUAGAGUCCGGUAGGGGAGCGUGGAAUUCCUGGUGUAGCGGUGAAAUGCGCAGAUAUCAGGAGGAACACCAGCGGCGAAGGCGGCGCUCUGGGCCGGAACUGACACUGAGGAGCGAAAGCGUGGGGAGCGAACAGG